This 440-nucleotide ribosomal RNA is filed under the name uncultured bacterium. Its description in RNAcentral is "partial 16S ribosomal RNA". It matches the Rfam family "Bacterial small subunit ribosomal RNA", at positions 338 to 795 of the family's 1533-position model. The record is from RNAcentral.
CCUACGGGAGGCAGCAGUGGGGAAUAUUGCACAAUGGGGGAAACCCUGAUGCAGCGACGCCGCGUGAGUGAAGAAGUAUCUAGGUAUUGUAAGCUCUAUCAGCAGGGAAGAAAAUGACGGUACCUGAUUAGGAAGCCCCGGCUAACUACGUGCCAGCAGCCGCGGUAAUACGUAGGGGGCAAGCGUUAUCCGGAUUUACUGGGUGUAAAGGGAGCGUAGACGGCAGCAAAAGUCUGGAGUGAAAUGGCGGGGCUUAACCCCGGAACUGCUGUGGAAACUGUGCAGCUUGAGUGCAGGAGAGGUAAGUGGAAUUCGUAGUGUAGCGGUGAAAUGCGUAGAUAUUAGGAGGAACACCAGUGGCGAAGGCAGCUUACUGGACUGUAACUGACGUUGAGGCUCGAAAGCGUGGGUAGCGAACAGGAUUAGAUACCCUUGUAGUC